UAGCGUCUUACCUGGUACAUAACAUUUGAAGGAAGAACUGCAAUUAGAAGGACUCAGGACUAAAAAUGAAGCUCCUUCUUCUUACAACUUUUAUAGUGACCAUCUCCAAUGUCAGUGCAGGCAAGACACAGAGGAUGUUAGCAGCCAUGAUGGCAGGAAUGAACGGAGGAACGAUGGCAGGUAUGAAUGGAGGAAUGUUGGCAGGUAUGAACGG
Long non-coding RNA from Solea solea (common sole), 214 nucleotides. RefSeq lists it as uncharacterized. The transcript has 4 exons. The record is from RefSeq and is a predicted model, not a curated record. Lineage: Eukaryota; Metazoa; Chordata; Actinopteri; Pleuronectiformes; Soleidae.